This 2305-nucleotide long non-coding RNA is filed under the name Bemisia tabaci. Its description in RNAcentral is "lncRNA ENSSSA1NGG013513". The record is from RNAcentral. Lineage: Eukaryota; Metazoa; Arthropoda; Insecta; Hemiptera; Aleyrodidae.
UUUCAUUUUCCUCCAGGCAACGAAUAUAUGAGCGCGUCAAGUUAAAAGCGGAAGACCUCGUAAACGAAAUCUGCGCCAAGGCCGAGACGGUCAACCAGAACGGACUCGCCAAGGACAUUGUAACUAGUGUAAAUUUCGCCAAAGCCAAUAGUGUAGACUCCUAUCGCCCACCGCUGGCCGAGACCAAACUCAAGACGUCGAUGACGUCAUCCUUCGAGGACGCACUUCUCAACGUCAACUUCGGCGAGGGAGCGGAAGCCCCCACCUUCUGUCCCCGCCUCAGCACAAUAGGCUCUGAACUAGAACUUAAGGUGGCAGAGGAGCUCUCGCCGGUGGACAAGAGCGGCUCGAGUUUCUCGGACGGGAACCUGAGUCCGGACCCGAAGGGGCUCUCGGACAGUGUGAUAGAGACGAUCAAGGGUGAGAUCGCGGAGAUCUGCGAGGAGGCAGCCGACCGGGCAGCCCAGCUGCUCGCCGAGAAGGCCGCCGAGGAGGCCGAGUCCGACUCAAACGAGAUCUCCGAGAACGGGACGUCGACCAACAACCCGAGCAUAUCCUUCUCCGACGACACCCAGAUCAUCGAGUCCAGCAUCCACGCCCCGGUCGACGAGAAGCUCGCCUCCGCCGCCACCACCAUCCAGGCCUCCUUUCGGGGCUACCAAGUCCGCAAGGCUCACAAAAAGCAGGAGAACCCCCGGACUGAGUCAACAGUGGUAGACGAAGACGAGCUGCCGCCUCCGGACAUGGAGCUCCUGGGCUCGGAAGGCGACACGAUCUCCGAGGAGGACCUGCCGCAACCGCCGGAGUUCGACGACCUCCCGCUGCCGGAGGACCUGGCCGAGCUGGACGAGUACGUGGUGACGCCGGAGAUCCGGGACCAGAUGGUCCGGCGCAACACCAUCAUCGCGGAAACCCGGCUCUCGGGGCUCUCGGCCGCCUCCAUGAACGAGUCCUCCUCGGAGAUCGACUCCUCUCUGUCGAGCGCGGCGACCAAGAUCCAGGCCGGGAUCCGCGGCUACCUCGCGCGGAAGCACCUCAAGAACACCUCCUCGACGACGGCCCCCUCCAUGGACGACUCGGAUCUCUCGACCGGCGAGCCGAACCAGAUCAAGAAGGCCCUCUCCGUCGAGGAGACCGAGAUCCAGCGGCAUCCCUUCUCCCCGGAUGAAAAGUACAUGGUGGGGAAGCGGAUGUCCCUGGACUCGCGGAUCAACCCGUCGAGCGGGAGCCGGGGGCGGGCGCCGAUGCGGAGCACGAUGUCGGAGUGCGCCGACGACCGGGACCAGUGGUUCGUGGGCUCGGAGGCGGAGGAGAAGGCGGCGGCCCGGAUCCAGUCCGGCUACCGGGCUACAAGACGCGGCAGCGGCUCAAGCGCGGCGACGCCGUCCAGCAGCCCACGACGAGCAGCAGCGUAACCCCGGCCUCCGCCUCCCCCGCCACCGCCGCCUCCCCGCGCACCCACUCCGCCGCCAGCGAGGAGCCACCCACCCCCAAGCACACCGGCGAGUACCAUGACGUCCUCGCCCUGUCGCCGCCAGUCCUCCACAGCGGUCAGUACCCACUUCUUUCAUUAUAAUUUACUGGGGGAAAAAAGUUACGGGCUGGAGACACCGUUCCGGGUUCGAAGGCCGAGAGUUCCGGGUGCUGAAGCCGUAACUUCAAUUGCUCUGGGUGCUGCGCCCGGAACUUUCGACCUCUGAGCCCGGAACCUGGACGGUACGUUUAUGCAGCCCGUAAGCACGGAUUCGAAGGCCAGAGUUUUUUUUUUGUCGUCUACCACACUCAAAGCCACUUUUAGCCUAAUAUCGGAUUGAUCGUGUAAAUCCGAUCCAGUGAAUCCGUACAGGGCUGAACACACGUUCAAAUUGAAGCUUCAAAGUGGUGGCUGUUUGGCCGAGUGUUGUCAUCGAUUACCGCAUCGAUGCGCAACACUUGACGGAACAGCCACCACUUUGAAGCUUCUUUUUGAACGUGUGUCUACGUCCAUGCCACAAUCGCACGCUGAAUAUGGAAGCUGAAUGUAGCUUGAAUGUGGAAGUCAUCGGCCAGAUGCCUGAAUUUUGCGCGUGUCGUGUGUCGCACCAAAAGCAUAGUUCGGCAUGGACUGGCUUCUCGAAAGAGGCCCGGGAAACAGCCAACAGAUCGGCCUAUCGCAGUGCCGCGAUGGACUCCCCCCCCCCUUCACCCAUCAUUUUUCGAUAUUAGCCGUAGGCGUGUCUCGGUCAUUUUGCAAAAAUUGCCAAAGUUAUGUUAGAUUGCCAGAGUUCAUUUUUGUGUGAAUGUGAUAGCAUGAAUAUAUCUCCUG